RNAcentral lists this ribosomal RNA (494 nucleotides) under uncultured bacterium. RNAcentral's name for it is "partial 16S ribosomal RNA". It matches the Rfam family "Bacterial small subunit ribosomal RNA", at positions 28 to 507 of the family's 1533-position model. The record is from RNAcentral.
GAUGAACGCUGGCGGCGUGCCUAAUACAUGCAAGUAGAACGCUGAAGGAGGAGCUUGCUCUUCUGGAUGAGUUGCGAACGGGUGAGUAACGCGUAGGUAACCUGCCUGGUAGCGGGGGAUAACUAUUGGAAACGAUAGCUAAUACCGCAUGACAACAGUUAUUGCAUGAUAACUGUUUAAAAGGGGCAACUGCUCCACUACCAGAUGGACCUGCGUUGUAUUAGCUAGUUGGUGAGGUAACGGCUCACCAAGGCGACGAUACAUAACCGACCUGAGAGGGUGAUCGGCCACACUGGGACUGAGACACGGCCCAGACUCCUACGGGAGGCAGCAGUAGGGAAUCUUCGGCAAUGACGGAAGUCUGACCGAGCAACGCCGCGUGAGUGAAGAAGGUUUUCGGAUCGUAAAGCUCUGUUGUAAGAGAAGAACGAGUGUGAGAGUGGAAAGUUCACACUGUGACGGUAUCUUACCAGAAAGGGACGGCUAACUACGUG